Long non-coding RNA from Nanorana parkeri, 159 nucleotides. RefSeq lists it as uncharacterized. The record is from RefSeq and is a predicted model, not a curated record. Lineage: Eukaryota; Metazoa; Chordata; Amphibia; Anura; Dicroglossidae. The transcript has 2 exons.
AACAUACGACUGCCGGACGAGGUGGAGAACCCAGGCAUGGCCAGCGGGAUGCUGGAGGAAGACUUGAUUCAAUAUUACCAGUUUCUGGCGGAGAAGGGAGACGUCCAGGCACAGGUGGGUCUGGGGCAGCUUCACCUACACGGGGGACGCGGAGUAGAG